AGUAGGGCCUGCCCACUGAUUUAUUAAAGGGCCGCAGUAUUUUAACUGUGCAAAGGUAGCAUAAUCAUUAGUUUUUUAAUUGAAAGCUGGAAUGAAUGGUUUGAUGAGAAAAGAGCUGUUUCAAUAUUAAUUUUUUAAAAUUUUAUUUUUAAGUAAAAAAGCUUAAAUUUGUAUAAAAGACGAGAAGACCCUAUAGAGUUUAAUUAAUAUAUAAAAUUUUUAUUUAAAGAAUUUAUUUUUAAAUAUUUUUUUUUUAAUUUAAUUGGGGUGAUUAAAAAAUUUAAAUAACUUUUUUUAUAUUUUUACAUUUUUUUAUGAAUUUGAUCCAUAAAUAAUAAU
This 339-nucleotide ribosomal RNA is filed under the name Scymnus tegminalis. RNAcentral's name for it is "partial large subunit ribosomal RNA". Lineage: Eukaryota; Metazoa; Arthropoda; Insecta; Coleoptera; Coccinellidae. The record is from RNAcentral.